UACGUAGGCAGCGAGCGUUGUUCGGAGUUACUGGGCGUAAAGAGUGCGUAGGCGGUGGCCUAAGUCUGGUGUGAAAUCUCCCGGCUCAACUGGGAGGGUGCGCCGGAAACUGGGUUGCUCGAGUGUGGGAGAGGCAAGCGGAAUUCCUGGUGUAGCGGUGAAAUGCGUAGAUAUCAGGAGGAACACCUGCGGUGUAGACGGCUUGCUGGACCAUGACUGACGCUGAGGCACGAAAGCGUGGGGAGCAAACAGG
RNAcentral lists this ribosomal RNA (253 nucleotides) under uncultured bacterium. Its description in RNAcentral is "partial 16S ribosomal RNA". It matches the Rfam family "Bacterial small subunit ribosomal RNA", at positions 524 to 776 of the family's 1533-position model. The record is from RNAcentral.